RNA transcript from Halichondria panicea, 4741 nucleotides. RefSeq lists it as uncharacterized. The transcript has 6 exons. The record is from RefSeq and is a predicted model, not a curated record. NCBI's taxonomy places the organism in Eukaryota, Metazoa, Porifera, Demospongiae, Suberitida, Halichondriidae.
AAGUGUACUCCGAGCUUUCGUGGAACAAGACUCGGAGAAAACGGUCCUUGUGUGUAGCUUUAGUUGGGAUGAUAACCCCUAUUUGUGAGUUAACCCUUUCCCGGCUUUAAUUAAAACGUUUUAAUUAUAAUUAUACAGAAUAAAUACAUGUUUUUCAUUGAAAUCACUCGUAACUAUUUCCUACAGGUAGCCCAGACCCCGGGGGUACCAUGACAUCAUCAUCGUUACUUAGCAACUGACCACCCCCAAUUGUUUACACAAACAAUAUUAUACGAAGGCACAAAGUGACUAUAGACACUAAGUAAGUAAGUGUUCUCAAUGUUCUCACGGUGACAUAGUUCGAUCAGGAUCUGCCGAAAAUUCUCUGCGGGGUCGUAUCAACAGACGCCCUUUUCCCGGGAAACGUUCUUCACACGUUUACAAGUGGCUCAUGAUAUCCACUGCUGUACUACUAGCCUAAGCAAACCUAUACUGAAGCUAUCCUGAAGCUAUUAGAAUACAGUAGGUUGUACAAUUGCUACUCUAGACGGUCCAGCUCCUUCAGGCUCUGCUCUUUAUUUUUUAGCUUGAGGUACGUAGCUUCCUACCUAGCUACGAUCCCAGUCACUGUCCUCUCACUCUGUCCUCUCACUCUACAAGCAUCGAUAUAUUCUAUAUUCUCACUGUCUCUAUUGAAGUCAUCAUCAAACGGUCACUUUUCUUUCAACGUACUGCACAAAGAGUACCUCGAAGCAAGAUGUUGAAAAUACCACGUGAAAGUGCGCAUGUGCUGGUACCUACAGCGUGCGCAUAGCUGCAAAUUUUUGAAAAAUCUCGGUCCGCUGGACGACAUAUGUCGUCCAAAGCCGGGAAAGGGUUAAGGGUUAAAUACUUUUAUGGUUGUGUUUUCAUCAUAAUUGUAAUGUCACCUGUAACAUGCUUAGUGGCAUCGGAUGGAUCAAUAAAGUUCCCAACAAUGUGGUUUCCAAGGAGCUGUUGUUAGAGGGAUAGCCGAGAAAUGUUCCAUGGAAGACGUAAUUGUUAGACUCAGACAAAGAACAGUUCCUACGCCACACAUACGCCACACACAUACGCCACACACACAGAUUAAGGGUAUACUUAUAAAUUAUUUGACGUCCUAUAAAUGUGUUUAUAUAUGUGACAGGGCCUAGGAAAACAACCCUUAUGGAGCAAACUGAUAAUGUUCAGUACAAUUUAGAGCGGAUUUUGGUUUUCUUUCAUAAGAAGUUCUCCUCUAACUAAAAAAAAAAUGUUUGUAUAGUCGUUACAAGGCCAAGGCAGCCAUUAGUUUCUCAAAACGGUAGGUCAAUACUGUCCUCCUUUCACCCGAAAAUAUUUUGGGAUAGGAAUUAGGUUGUAAUAUUGUAAGCUUAAUUUAAUUAAGCAGUUUGCUCCAUAAGGGUUGUUUCCUAGGCCCUAGGCCCUGUCACAUAUAGUUAAUUUUAUUUAAUUAUGUGUAUGAAUGCAAUAUUAACUGAUUUACACUAUCACCUCUCAUGUGAUCUCUGUUAUGUUUGUUCUACUUACGUUUGUCUUGUGCUCUUGUGCAAUCUACAUGUAUCAGUGGAAUCAAGGGCGAAGAGGGCAUGCAACUACUAUCUAUCAGGGGCGGGGUCUUAUAUCUAGUAAAGAAUGCAAUCUAGUAAAGAAUGCAUUGCACGUACACCGUUUUUGUGCGUGCACGGUGAAGAUGUGGAGGUGAAGCAUUCGUACAGUUACUAAGAGAAGAGGGCAUGCAACUCACAAUGUAAACUGUGUAUGCGUCAAAAAUUGAUGAGUCAGCAGGAUAUGCUAUAUUUAGCCAACCGCCCACUAGAGGAGGUUGGUCACGAUUAAUUAAGAUUCACGUGACAUUAUGUUUUCUAUGUAAAAACUCCAAACCCAUCCAAACUUUUUAUCUACUUUCUUCGAUUAGCUCUCUUGUAUAACAUCUCCUGUUAGUUUACUCCUGUUAGUUUAUGAGUCGUAGUGCUACAUCAAGAAGAAACCAAGGACAACUCAAAGUUUGUGGUUUCUGGCUACGCACUUUCUAGUGUCACUAGCAUUGUUAGCAUCAUUUACUACUACUAGUAUAGAGAGCUACAAUCAUCUGCAGUAUGUUAGCUUAGCUAGAAUAGCUACUUUCUCUGUAAGUUUUCCACAAUGUAGCUCAUGUUCCACACAAACUGAACAAACUGAACUGCAUGGAAUAAUGCACUCGAUACAAGUUAGAGGUUUAUCGUCACUACUCUUCUCUCGUUAUUGUGCUGAGCAGUUCGAGUGUACUGAGUGUACUGUGCCUGACGACUUUCUACUCUAUGCUGCACGAGCAAUGAGCCAACUGAGUGUAUCGAACACUCUUGCCAAAGGUUUUGGUUGCAUGAGAGCUGACAGAUCUGAUUCCUUGUUUCCAACAAAUAGGAUGCCAAUGGGACUGCUGGAGUUUAUGGCAAAUUUCUUUGUAUCAAGCGAGUCACGGAAAGUAAGUGAUGCUUAAAGUUUGAGUACUGUCUAAAAUGCUACAGGUCCCAUCAUGUCCGGGUGAUUAUAGACAGUGGCUUCAAAGCCCAAUGUGGAGUGUAGCUCACCUUCCCUGGAUGAGGUAUAACUUAUGUAAUAUCAGGACUGCAUGUAUAUAUAUACGGUUCAGUAGAGUAAUCUCGCUUGUGCACUUCAUACUUUUUGCUGUAGAAUGUACUGUGGGAUACAAGUGACAUCAGACAAUAGUUUUAGAUGAAGCUGCUAAGUCACACCCCAAUUCUUGGUGGUGGGUCAAGGCCGUGAUUUGGUGAAAGGUCUUGGGGAGUCAGUGAGAGUGGAGAUGUUGAUCUCAAUGAUGGUGCACUUGCCAAGUUGCGUGAGGUAUUGGCCUGCACGAUCUAUCAGUGACAUUUCUUUUCUCACUCAGUGUCUUCACACAAUAGGUCUUCACACAAUGGACAAAGAUUAUUCUGAGCACCAAAAACAUGGCAAGUCAACAGAAUCGGUCAUGUCUUGGGACACUCUGAGUGAUCUGAUUGAGUGAGGCAAGGUUGACUGAAACGACCAAGGAUAGGGUACCAAGGAUAGGCUACUUGACGAAGCAUAUGAUCGAGUCGUGGCUGGCCAACUCAAUUCUCUGCGGGAAAAGCUUACAUCAUUUGCAAAGGGCACAGCUGCCACUCAUGUCCUGAUAGUGCUGAUAGUGAUGAUUUCUCCCGAAGAAAGAAGCAGAAGCAGGAAACCCUAUGCUCUGCCAGUGCAAUGCAUUCCUUACGUAAGAUCUGGAAGUGCGUGCCAUAGCCGACAAAGUGAUCACUGACAAAGGAAUGAAAGUUGCUGGAUUUACCACCAAUGGAGAGUGCGCCUCAAAGGUAGACAGAGGGCGUGUACGAGCUAAAUAUGCACGGAUGGGGAAGAAAAGAAUGCUAGGAAUGCUAACACCAACAUAUGAGUGGCAUAUGAGUGGCAGUUUAGUAAUUUAGAUGCUACACUGUUUAUCAUGUAUCUCAUUCACAGGUCAGGCAGAUGGAACUAUUUGUGUUUGGGUUGAAGAAGGCUGCUCACCUAGAGAUGUGAUUGAAAGGCUACGACCGAGGACUGUUCCUACAGGUUACAGUAUGUUAGGGAAAGAAGAUGAUGCUGAUAAGCUGCGUUCCAUCUUAGCGCAGCUGGAGUAUACCCAUGAAGUCCAGCAGUGGGUGUGUAAAGGAGUGCCAUUUGACACCCACCUGUAUGUACCAGAGAUCCACCCCAUGACUAAAGUAGGAUUCUGUGAACGUGAACGUGAAGAAACAAUAUGAGCCCUAAUGUACUCACUCAUUUACGUCAAAUACUACAUACUUGUGUUAUACAUACUAUGUGUUAAUCAUAAUUAUUACCUGCAUACUAUCAUAGCGAAUUGGAAACAAUGUACGAUUGGGAGAUUCAGACGACGUUGAGCUGCCUUGGAAGAUCUGAGGACAGGGAUAACAUAUCCCGCCGUUAAUUGGAGUUCACAAGCAAUCAGUUGAAGAUGUGGAGCGUUUUUUUGGCGCAGGUGUUACCAUGCAGAAGCCAAUUGGAGACGUGCCAUGACGUGCCAUUGAUGAACGUGGCUUGAGCAGCGGCAACAAUUCAGGAAUUUUAUUUAUUCUGGAUGAUUGGAUGCCCUGGCACGCGGAAAAUGAGGUUAAGGACUUUAGCCAAUACUAUACUACAAUAGACUUUGUGGUUUUGUACUUGAUUCUUCUCACCAGGGACGGCUAACACGAGAGUGUUUAGUAGCUCUGGUUGCUGAUAUUGAGUCGAGAAACUGGCGGCAGAUAUUUAAUGCCAACAAUGGUAUUGCACCAGAGCAUCCUCGCUCUUCUACCACCGACGAUGUUGAAUGCUUCUUCAGUGUGCUGAGAAGUCUUGUACGGAUGGAGGAAAGUAUGUGAUGGAGGAAAGUAUGUGAGGAGCGCAUGGACCCAGAUCUGCCCUUUUAUUAUCACACAUCCCAUGGUCGCUUUUAUGAAGACAAUAUGCCCGACUUCAACCAGGUACCAACCACAGUUAGACAGCCACAACAGUUAGACAGCCACAAAGACCACCAAGAAGAGAACUACUUGGCGACGUGGUGCUCGCUCAAUUAGAGCAUAUCCACGGAGUAGAUUUCCCACCAACAUCCACUGAUGAUGUACUGUAUGAACACGGGUAUGCAUCACAACCUUGUGUAUUUGAUUAUUACCUUGGUGAUUAACAGUUUGCUGAAGAACUCAAAAAUAUUUUACAUGUAUCUGCUUUAAUUAAUAUAAUAACA